RNAcentral lists this ribosomal RNA (503 nucleotides) under uncultured bacterium. RNAcentral's name for it is "bacterial SSU rRNA". It matches the Rfam family "Bacterial small subunit ribosomal RNA", at positions 355 to 858 of the family's 1533-position model. The record is from RNAcentral.
UAAGGAAUAUUGGUCAAUGGACGGAAGUCUGAACCAGCCAUGCCGCGUGCAGGAAGACGGCCCUACGGGUUGUAAACUGCUUUUGUACGGGAAUAAACCCCUUUACGUGUAAAGGGCUGAAUGUACUGUAAGAAUAAGGAUCGGCUAACUCCGUGCCAGCAGCCGCGGUAAUACGGAGGAUCCAAGCGUUAUCCGGAUUUAUUGGGUUUAAAGGGUGCGUAGGCGGCCUAUUAAGUCAGGGGUGAAAGACGGUAGCUCAACUAUCGCAGUGCCUUUGAUACUGAUGGGCUUGAAUGCAGCUGAGGUAGGCGGAAUGUGACAAGUAGCGGUGAAAUGCAUAGAUAUGUCACAGAACACCGAUUGCGAAGGCAGCUUACUAAAGUGCGAUUGACGCUGAGGCACGAAAGCGUGGGGAUCAAACAGGAUUAGAUACCCUGGUAGUCCACGCCCUAAACGAUGAACACUCGAUGUUGGCGAUAUACGGUCAGCGUCUAAGCGAAAGC